RNAcentral lists this ribosomal RNA (119 nucleotides) under Pteropus alecto (black flying fox). The record is from RNAcentral. Lineage: Eukaryota; Metazoa; Chordata; Mammalia; Chiroptera; Pteropodidae.
GUCUACUGCCGUGCCACCCUAAACAAACCCGAUCCCAUCUGAUCUCAGAAGCUAAGCAGGGUCGGGCCUGGUUAGUACUUGGAUGGGAGACCACAUAGAAAGACCAGGUGCUGUAGGCG